UUGAACGCUGGCGGCAUGCCUUACACAUGCAAGUCGAGCGGCAGCGCGGGGGCAACCCUGGCGGCGAGCGGCGCACGGGUGAGUAAUACAUCGGAACGUGUCCUUUUGUGGGGGAUAACCAGUCGAAAGACUGGCUAAUACCGCAUGAGAUCUCACGAUGAAAGCGGGGGACCGCAAGGCCUCGCGCGAUUGGAGCGGCCGAUGUCGGAUUAGCUAGUUGGCGGGGUAAAAGCCCACCAAGGCGACGAUCCGUAGCUGGUUUGAGAGAACGACCAGCCACACUGGGACUGAGACACGGCCCAGACUCCUACGGGAGGCAGCAGUGGGGAAUUUUGGACAAUGGGGGCAACCCUGAUCCAGCCAUGCCGCGUGUGUGAAGAAGGCCUUCGGGUUGUAAAGCACUUUCGGCCGGAACGAAAU
This 420-nucleotide ribosomal RNA is filed under the name uncultured bacterium. Its description in RNAcentral is "bacterial SSU rRNA". It matches the Rfam family "Bacterial small subunit ribosomal RNA", at positions 29 to 451 of the family's 1533-position model. The record is from RNAcentral.